GACGAACGCUGGCGGCGUGCCUAACACAUGCAAGUCGAACGGAACUGUUUUGAAAGUUUUCUUCGGAAUGAAUUUGAUUUCGUUUAGUGGCGGACGGGUGAGUAACGCGUGAGUAACCUGCCUUCAAGAGGGGAAUAACAUUCUGAAAAGAAUGCUAAUACCGCAUGACAUAUCGGAACCACAUGGUUUUGAUAUCAAAGAUUUUAUCGCUUGAAGAUGGACUCGCGUCCGAUUAGUUAGUUGGUGAGGUAACGGCUCACCAAGACUGCGAUCGGUAGCCGGAGUGCGGAGUUGAGCGGCCACAUUGGAACUGAGGCACGGCCCAGACACCUACGGGAAGGAGCAGUGGGGGGUAGUGCGCAAUGGGGGCAAGCCUGACGCAGCAACGCCGCGUAAAGGAUGAAUGUUUUCGGAUUGUAAACUUCUUUUAUUAAGGACGAAAAAUGACGGUACUUAAUGAAUAAGCCCCGGCUAACUACGUG
Molecule: ribosomal RNA, 482 nt
Filed under: uncultured bacterium
Lineage: Bacteria
Description: partial 16S ribosomal RNA
Rfam family: Bacterial small subunit ribosomal RNA
Source: RNAcentral